This is a long non-coding RNA of Tigriopus californicus, 3072 nucleotides long. RefSeq lists it as uncharacterized. The record is from RefSeq and is a predicted model, not a curated record. The transcript is spliced from 2 exons. NCBI's taxonomy places the organism in Eukaryota, Metazoa, Arthropoda, Copepoda, Harpacticoida, Harpacticidae.
GAACGAACGAGGUGACCCACGCAUGCUGCUCGCUUGGGUGUCUGUGUUGUUGUUGAUGUUGUCGUCGUCGUUGCAGCAGCCAUCCACUCCAUCUUCGUGGCCUCCAAGUCUCUUUUCUGUUCUCCACUCGGCCUCCACUCUAUUUGGUGGAGAGUGUUCCACCUUCAAUCAGGGAUCCCAACCAUGCAAUAUCCGGCAUUGAAUACUACUCUUCGGAAUGGGUUCAAGCUGGUUGAACUUGUGUCGAUUGUAUUGAGUCAACGAUUGGUAACUUUGAACUGUGACAACAUCGGAAAGAACGUAGAGAGGCGUGCUCAAAUCCAGAUCUCCAUUCAUCUCUGAAAGGAAUCCUUGGGGUUUGGGUGGCUCCAAUUGAAGCAUGAGAAAUGGCCACCAGCUCAUUUGAAAUUCGUUCAAAUCGGAGCAAAGAUUGGGGAUCAUCGUUCAUCUGGGCGCACCCGUGUUCCCAUUUGGAUUGGAUGUAUGGUGAUUAUGAUUAUGGUGAUGGUGAGAGUGCCCAUGAUGAGUGUGGUGAGAGUGCCCAUGAUGGUUGGUGAGUCGAGUGCGUUGCUCGGGAUCCUCAAAGAAGUCCUCAUCUCUGAAUCGCGACUGGGAAUACGAACAGCUGCUUCGAGGAUGGAUGUGGUGACUCCCACUACUCCCCACACUCCCAUCGAUGCUUCGUCUGAAAUACACAGAGAACAGAAAAGAACCAACGAAGGCUUAGUCACGCUUCAGUACGGGGGAAACGGAGAAGGCCGGAGAAUGUUUGGAUUCAUUUCAAAUUCAGAUCAUAUUUCUCCGACCUGAAGGAACCUUCUUGAGCGUAUCACCACUCGUCACCCGUCUUCUAUUGAAUGAAAUCCUGCUUUGAAAAUGAAAGGUUAAAGCGAAUGGGGGGUGUCUUUCCCGCGAUUCUGCAUACAAAGGGUGCCAUUGGAAAAAAAGAAAAUCAAGGAUAGAGGCGACUGUCUAGGUUUGAAUUUUUUGAAGUGACCCGUUUUAAGAGGAUCAGUUGAGGUUGAUUGCGAGAAUGGAUUAAAAGAACGACAGUUGGAAAAUCAAAAUUCCAUCUGAAAGUGAGUCCGGGGGGGAUGGCGACUUGCAACAAUGACAUUGUUCCGUACUUACUUGACCUUUACUGCAUAUCCAUCCAAGCCACGAUCCAAAUUUUGAUGCUCGAGCAUUAAACAUUAAACACGCCUUGAAGUGUCUCAGUAACUCGUAAUCAAGUUACUAAAUGUCUCUUCAGGCUAAAAUAAAGAAGCCAACAUCUCCUAACCCCACCCCGCCGGUCUUCAUCAUUCUCGUUUUAGUUUUCUCAUCUCACAGAAAUCCUCUCUCACGCCUCAAAGUUUGGGAAUCUCCUCCAAAAACAUCAUCUCCCAAGUAAUGAAGAUAAAAACCGAGUACCCUCCUUUAGUAUGUAUUUACUUAUGUACUUUAUUAUGGCUAUGUGUACUAGGAUUCCAUUACUAGGUCUUACCCUCUUCGCGAUGAAUUGAGAACAUUUUCGUCCCCUUUCUGGACUCCAAACACGAGGAAACAGCAAACCAUCACGGUCAGCAUCACAACGCCUAUAAUUCACACGGAUAAGAGCGUAAUAAAAAGCGAUUUGCCUUCGUAAUCCCUUCGCCAGAUGAGCAUUGAUCCAUCCAAGGAAGAAAGGCCCUUUUCGAGUGAAGUUCCAAGUGAACCUGAAAACUUCGCAAUGUUUGAUAGGUAAACAUCACCGAAGCAAACCCAAUAUCAACAAAGAUCGCCACGAAUAGCACUCAGAGCAAACUUCUUCUGCUUUCAUUGCUGGGUUCCAUUUUCCAUUGUUGGAGAAGGGCUCAGCUUGAUGGAGUUCCAAUCAAGUUCCUCUGACUACUCAAAACUUCGUUUUUUGCCGGUUGUUAGGCUUGCAUUUGAGAAAAGUAAUGAAGUGGCCCUCAGGGAGGCAUUACUAACGAAGCUUCUUAGGUGGCAAGCUCCUUAUUUAGAGUUAUUUCAUCGCACAUGAGGGGACCAUCCAACUUCGCUUGGAUCUUGACUACCGUAAAUGCCGAGUCUAAUUUGGGAUGGACCGUUUCCAGAAGAAGAAGAAGUACACUGACACUUUAACGAGUUAUAUAUAUGCGCCCUUUCGUCGAAUCCCUGGACAGUCGUCAAAAAAGGGAGAAAAAAAGAGAAGAGUGGCAACCCGAAGCUGUAUGUAUAAAUAUGCAAUGUGGUGGUCGCUUUCCAAAAAAAAACUUAUUUUCGAGGUCCAGCUGCCCUCUAAUACCCUAAUAUGUAAAGUCGUGAUGGUGGUCCACUCUCUGUCCCCAUGGAAUCCAGUUCCACAGCGCCCGAAAGACUGACUCCCUAUCCCUUCACUAUUCAUCCCGGUGUCUCCAGAGAUCAACUCAGCUUGAAUACAUAAACAAGAGACGUAUCGUGAUACCCGGAGUAUCUGCUCAACGACCAUUCCAGAAGGCCAAGGCCCAACCAGAAGCAGUCUCAAUGCAGAAUUGGUGCGGUCACUCGGAGUAUUCAUUUCCAGGUCUUGCUCACUUUGAGAGUGGGGAGAAUCGAUUCGUUUCGAAAUAUAUUUCCCAAGCCUUGAAGAGCGGGAUCUAUUCAAUGUUUUCAAUCCCUCAAGGCUCCUUGAUCAAAUCCGGAGAGAUGCGUAGAAGUGGUAGAAGGAGAAAUCUUGGAAUUUGAGGAAGACCUUUGUGACCUUCACAAAAAAGUGGAGACAUCUUCAAACGAUGGUGUCAACAAGGGCGUUGUUCCCAUGUUCCAUCUUCCUUCCGCCGUUCCAUUUGUGGACAGAGAGAGAUGGAGAAGAAAAGAGGUGACACGAGAUAAUGCAUCCAUAAGGAACACAAUUGAUUGCAUCACUUCGAGAAAGAGCUCAUCCCGCCCCAAAAGUAACGAACCAGCCACUUUCAAAAAGCAAAUCGAAUAAUCCAUCUACAACGCACGCGCCCAUUCAGCCUGGAACGGGGCAUGUCACUUUUCAAGCGGAGAAAAACUCGAGGCAAGCCAACAUUUCCAAAUUUUGUUGAGGAAAAAAUAAAACAUGCAAUAAACCUGGGUCUCCUC